CCUACGGGUGGCAGCAGUGAGGAAUAUUGGUCAAUGGACGAGAGUCUGAACCAGCCAAGUAGCGUGAAGGAUGACUGCCCUAUGGGUUGUAAACUUCUUUUAUAUGGGAAUAAAAUGUUCCACGUGUGGGAUUUUGUAUGUACCAUAUGAAUAAGGAUCGGCUAACUCCGUGCCAGCAGCCGCGGUAAUACGGAGGAUCCGAGCGUUAUCCGGAUUUAUUGGGUUUAAAGGGAGCGUAGGUGGAUUGUUAAGUCAGUUGUGAAAGUUUGCGGCUCAACCGUAAAAUUGCAGUUGAAACUGGCAGUCUUGAGUACAGUAGAGGUGGGCGGAGUUCGUGGUGUAGCGGUGAAAUGCUUAGAUAUCACGAAGAACUCCGAUUGCGAAGGCAGUUCACUGGACUGCAACUGACACUGAGGCUCGAAAGUGUGGGUAUCAAACAGGAUUAGAUACCCGAGUAGUC
This 460-nucleotide ribosomal RNA is filed under the name uncultured bacterium. RNAcentral describes it as "partial 16S ribosomal RNA". It matches the Rfam family "Bacterial small subunit ribosomal RNA", at positions 338 to 795 of the family's 1533-position model. The record is from RNAcentral.